Pristis pectinata (smalltooth sawfish) is the source of this 485-nucleotide long non-coding RNA. RefSeq lists it as uncharacterized. NCBI's taxonomy places the organism in Eukaryota, Metazoa, Chordata, Chondrichthyes, Rhinopristiformes, Pristidae. The transcript has 3 exons. The record is from RefSeq and is a predicted model, not a curated record.
GGGGCGGCGAGCGCAGGUUUCCCGCGCGAUUCCGAGGAAUCAAACCGGCUUGUUCCUCUGUGGCUGAAAGUCAUGGAUAGACUGACGGAGUCCUCGAAAGAAUACCAGAGGAUGACAGCGAAUAUCGAGAAACUUACUGAAGAAUCUUUUCAGCUGGCUUCGCACCAGAAAAAAAUGGUGGAACACAAUGUUGUGCUUGCAAAGCUUUGCCAUAAUUUCGAUGAGGUUCAGUCAAGACUGGAACGAGUAGCAGCAGUGAAACCUGGUUGCACAUUACUGAAGCAUUAACUUUCUUGAAAAUAUCAAGUUUCAAAACACAAGGUUGUAGAAUUAACUUGCAACAUAUGUGACAUACAAGUUCACUUUUGAUGCAAGUGAAUUUUCAAUGCAAUUUCUUUUACAUUUAAUUGCUGUUCACAUGAAAUGUUAUUUAUCUUUCACAAUUCUGAAUCUGUGCUGCGAUUGAAAUGGUGCAAUAAAUUUUA